RNAcentral lists this transfer RNA (74 nucleotides) under Sus scrofa (pig). It matches the Rfam family "tRNA". From Rfam's summary of the family: Transfer RNA (tRNA) molecules are approximately 80 nucleotides in length. Their secondary structure includes four short double-helical elements and three loops (D, anti-codon, and T loops). Further hydrogen bonds mediate the characteristic L-shaped molecular structure. tRNAs have two regions of fundamental functional importance: the anti-codon, which is responsible for specific mRNA codon recognition, and the 3' end, to which the tRNAs corresponding amino acid is attached (by aminoacyl-tRNA synthetases). tRNAs cope with the degeneracy of the genetic code in two manners: having more than one tRNA (with a specific anti-codon) for a particular amino acid; and 'wobble' base-pairing, i.e. permitting non-standard base-pairing at the 3rd anti-codon position. Lineage: Eukaryota; Metazoa; Chordata; Mammalia; Artiodactyla; Suidae. The record is from Rfam by way of RNAcentral.
UCCCUGGUGUCUCAGUGGGUUAAGGGUCCAACAUUAUCACUGCUGUGGCUCAGGUUUGAUUCCUGGCCUGGAAA